This 66-nucleotide transfer RNA is filed under the name Dasyornis broadbenti (rufous bristle-bird). Its description in RNAcentral is "tRNA-Ser". Lineage: Eukaryota; Metazoa; Chordata; Aves; Passeriformes; Dasyornithidae. The record is from RNAcentral.
GAGGGGUGGUUUAAACAACGAGAACUGCUAACUCUCGCAUCCGAGCUUAAGCCCUCGGCCCCCUUA